Molecule: ribosomal RNA, 497 nt
Filed under: uncultured bacterium
Lineage: Bacteria
Description: partial 16S ribosomal RNA
Rfam family: Bacterial small subunit ribosomal RNA
Source: RNAcentral
GACGAACGCUGGCGGCGUGCCUAAUACAUGCAAGUUGAGCGCUGAAGGUUGGUACUUGUACCAACUGGAUUAGCAGCGAACGGGUGAGUACCGCGUGGGUAAUCUGCCUUUGAGCGUGGGACAACAUUUGGAAACGAAUGCUAAUACCGCAUAAAAACUUUAAACACAAGUUUUAAGUUUGAAAGAUGCAAUUGCAUCACUCAAAGAUUAUCCCGCGUUGUAUUAGCUAGUUGGUGAGGUAAAGGCUCACCAAGGCGAUGAUACAUAGCCGACCUGAGAGGGUGAACGGCCAACUUGGGACUGGGAAACGGCCCAAACUCCUACGGGAGGCAGCAGUAGGGAAUCUUCGGCAAUGGACGAAAGUCUGACCGAGCAACGCCGCGUGAGUGCAGAAGGUUUUCGGAUCGUAAAACUCUGUUGGUAGAGAAGAACGUUGGUGAGAGUGGAAUGCUCAUAAAGUGACGGUAACUACCCAGAAAGGGACGGCUAACUACGUG